UACGAAGGGUGCAAACGUUGCUCGGAAUUAUUGGGCGUAAAGCGCACGUAGGCGGCUUGGCAAGUCGGAUGUGAAAGCCCUCGGCUCAACCAAGGAAGUGCAUCCGAAACUGCUGAGCUUGAGUACUUAAGAGGAUCGCGGAAUUCCCGGUGUAGAGGUGAAAUUCGUAGAUAUUCGGAGGAACACCAGUGGCGAAGGCGGCUCACUGGUCCAUUACUGACGCUGAGGUGCGAAAGCGUGGGGAGCAAACAGG
Molecule: ribosomal RNA, 253 nt
Filed under: uncultured bacterium
Lineage: Bacteria
Description: partial 16S ribosomal RNA
Rfam family: Bacterial small subunit ribosomal RNA
Source: RNAcentral